This 390-nucleotide ribosomal RNA is filed under the name uncultured bacterium. Its description in RNAcentral is "bacterial SSU rRNA". It matches the Rfam family "Bacterial small subunit ribosomal RNA", at positions 30 to 419 of the family's 1533-position model. The record is from RNAcentral.
AUUGAACGCUGGCGGCAUGCCUUACACAUGCAAGUCGAACGGCAGCACGGGGGCAACCCUGGUGGCGAGUGGCGAACGGGUGAGUAAUAUAUCGGAACGUGCCCUAGAGUGGGGGAUAACGUAGCGAAAGUUACGCUAAUAUCGCAUACGAUCUAUGGAUGAAAGUGGGGGAUUCGCAAGAACCUCAGGCUCCUGGAGCGGCCGAUAUCUGAUUAGCAGUUGGUAGGGUAAAAGCCUACCAAGGCAUCGAUCAGUAGCUGGUCUGAGAGGACGACCAGCCACACUGGGACUGAGACACGGCCCAGACUCCUACGGGAGGCAGCAGUGGGGAAUUUUGGACAAUGGGGGCAACCCUGAUCCAGCAAUGCCGCGUGAGUGAAGAAGGCCUGG